RNAcentral lists this long non-coding RNA (741 nucleotides) under Manihot esculenta (cassava). RNAcentral's name for it is "long non-coding RNA (MESC_LNC004962)". Lineage: Eukaryota; Viridiplantae; Streptophyta; Magnoliopsida; Malpighiales; Euphorbiaceae. The record is from RNAcentral.
AAAGGAGAUAAAGGUUUUGUUCCUUUGUUGACAAUUUAUCCUUGUGUCUGGUUAUUGCUGAUUAUAUUUCGUUUUUGGUUUUCUCUAUUUUGUUGGUUUAGACUCCCUUGCCUCUUGGUAUGGGUGGUUGUUUUGGUGUCCUGUUAUUUUUCGGCCUCGUCCCUCUCGUUUUUCUCCCUUGUCAAAGGUGGCUGUAUCAACUUUUGUUUGUAUUUUGCUAUUAUUUCUUUGGUUUUUGUUUCAAGUCUUAGAUGUUCAUUGGGGGAGGGGAGCUGCUUGCUUGACCUUGUUUUAAGGGAUUUCAACUCUGGCUACUAGAAAGGGAUUUUGUUGACAUGAUAUCAUUAUCUCGGAAUUGCACCGCUCCUUUUAGUUGUUAUUGGUUGGAAUCUACCAUGUAUCUUGUCUCUGCCGCUGAUGCUUUUCUCUGUUAUGCCAAGGGUUCCUUUUCUUUGCUUGUUGCAUAUUUGCAUUAUGAUUGUCGUUUCAUUUUUCUAGUCAUCGUUAGACUUUGCUUUGCUCUGAUUUGAUCGUCGCUUGCUUUACGGAGUGAUCGAUUUUCCGAUCAGUCAGUGCCUGUUUGCUGAUUUGGUACUACUUAAGUGUGGCGGUGACUGUUUAGUUGCUCAAUUUGAAUUACUUGUAUUUAGAUCGAGUGAUUUAUCAUUUAGUUAUUUGUUUUUGAAUCGAGUGUUUUACCUUGUGUGAUUAGAUUACUAAAAUGCAGUAGGCUAGUUGUCC